RNAcentral lists this ribosomal RNA (1171 nucleotides) under human gut metagenome. RNAcentral describes it as "bacterial LSU rRNA". It matches the Rfam family "Bacterial large subunit ribosomal RNA", at positions 828 to 1980 of the family's 2925-position model. The record is from RNAcentral.
UCCAAUCGAACUCGGAGAUAGCUGGUUCUCCCCGAAAUAGCUUUAGGGCUAGCCUGAGGUAGUAAGUAUAGGCGGUAGAGCACUGAUCGGGCUAGGGGCCGUAAAGGUUACCGAACCCUGUCAAACUCCGAAUGGAUAUACUGUAGAGCCUUGGAGUCAGACUACGAGUGAUAAGAUCCGUGGUCAAAAGGGAAACAGCCCAGACCACCAGCUAAGGUCCCCAAUGUCGUACUAAGUGGAAAAGGAUGUGGGGUUGCAUAAACAACCAGGAUGUUGGCUCAGAAGCAGCCACCAUUUAAAGAGUGCGUAAUAGCUCACUGGUCGAGAGACCCUGCGCCGAAGAUUCCCGGGGCUAAAGUACGAAACCGAAGCUGUGGCUGUAUACGUAAAGUAUACGGGGUAGGGGAGCGUUCCCAUAGGGUAGAAGUCGAACUGGAAGGUUCGGUGGACUUGUGGGAAGUGAGAAUGUUGGUAUGAGUAGCGAAAAGAAAGGUGAGAAUCCUUUCCACCGAAAGCAUAAGGAUUCCUGAGCAACGAUCGUCGUCUCAGGGUAAGUCGGGACCUAAUCCGAGGCAGAGAGCGUAGGAGAUGGACAACUGGUUGAUAUUCCAGUACCGGUAGUAAUUGUUUGAGCAAUGGAGUGACACAGAAGGGCAGGCAAGCAUGCGAAUGGAAGAGCAUGUGUAAGCGUGUAGGGUGGUGCAUAGGCAAAUCCGUGCACUGAAAGCCUGAGGCGUGAUGCGGAGUGAGCAGAGAUGCGAGCGAAGUUGUUGACCCCACACUGUCGAGAAAAGCUUCUAGUGAGAGAGCUACCGCCCGUACCGUAAACCGACACAGGUAUGCGGGGAGAGAAUCCUAAGGUGCGCGGGAGAACCCUCGUUAAGGAACUCGGCAAAAUGUACCCGUAACUUCGGGAUAAGGGUAGCCACUGUUGUGAAGUCCCAUGCGGAUGGAGCAUAGAGUGGUCGCAGAGAAGAGGCCCAAGCGACUGUUUACCAUAAACACAGGUGCCUGCUAAAGCGAAAGCUGACGUAUAGGUGCUGACACCUGCCCAGUGCCGGAAGGUUAAGGAAGGAUGUUCGGAUUAGUCCAAAGCAUUCGACUGAAGCCCCGGUGAACGGCGGCCGUAACUAUAACGGUCCUAAGGUAGCGAAAUUCCUUGUCGGGUAAG